Molecule: long non-coding RNA, 516 nt
Organism: Armigeres subalbatus
Lineage: Eukaryota; Metazoa; Arthropoda; Insecta; Diptera; Culicidae
Exons: 2
Source: RefSeq, a predicted model, not a curated record
AUUCAUGUGUCUUCAGUUUCUUCCGAAAGAAAAAAAUUAGGAAACGCUUGUAAUCGUAGGUAUGCGACUUUCUUAUACAAUAUUUACAAAUAUUAUUAAAAUUCCUCAUUAUACAGGUCAUCAGCUAGCGGAAUUCAAGGAAAAAGUAUCUCCAUUCUACAUUCCAGUCUGGACAACCCGCAAUGAUCGUAAUUCAGGAACGUAAAGGAAAGUUACAGAAAAAGCUAAUGAUUCUGAACCUGGUCUUCCCCCGAGAAAAUGAACCCUGUUCGGAACGGAACGGAUCAUCAUCCGGAAACAGCAUUUAGGACGUAUGGCAGGAUGAUCAGCUCCUGUUGCGGAGCAUCCGAAAAACGAUCACUAAGGGCCAAUUUCUUCACCUCCGCUUAACUCCUAAGCACUAAGCGUAGUUUAAGCACUAAGCGGAGGUGAAGAAAUCGGCCCUAAGAAGAAUUUGAUAUACAAGUACUGGUCGAUAUAUUUGAUAAAUAAAAUUUAAAUUUUACUGAUUUUUAA